RNAcentral lists this long non-coding RNA (402 nucleotides) under Elaeis guineensis (African oil palm). RNAcentral describes it as "long non-coding RNA (EGUI_LNC009420)". The record is from RNAcentral. Lineage: Eukaryota; Viridiplantae; Streptophyta; Magnoliopsida; Arecales; Arecaceae.
AAUUUCGAUCUAAAAUAAUUUUUUAUCUAAAUUUUAUUCUAUUAUAAUGAAUCAUAAAUCACUUUAAAUCUAAUCUAAACAUAUUUAUGAUCAAAAUAAUAUAUAAAAAUCUAUUCACUUUUUUUUUCAUGAAAUCGAAUCACAAUGACAUCCCUACAUGUCAUAAAAAAAUCCAUCGAAUAGAUAAAAGAGAGAUUAAUCUCUUCAAUCUCCUAUGAUCGGAUGGUCUGGUGAUCUCAUCAAUCUGAGUACUAGACUAUUAAGAUCUAAAAUCUAAUUUCAUAUACAAUUACAUCUACAUGUAAUUAUUGACAAAAUAAUUUUGUAUCAUGAACAUAUCCCUGAUCUUAUCAAUUAUGUUCUUCAUCUAAUCUAAUUAGAUUUAAUGUAUCAUAUAUAUCA